AGGAUGAACGCUGGCGGCGUGCCUAAUACAUGCAAGUCGAGCGGUAAGGCCACUUCGGUGGUACACGAGCGGCGGACGGCUGAGUAACACGUAGGAACGUACCCCAAAGUGAGGCAUAAGCACCAGAAAUGGUGUCUAAUACCGCAUGUGGCCUAACAGGCUAAAGCUCCGGCGCUUUGGGAACGGCCUGCGCAUGAUUAGCUUGUUGGUGAGGUAAAAGCUCACCAAGGCAGUGAUCAUUAGCUGGUCUGAGAGGAUGACCAGCCAGACUGGGACUGAGAACGGCCCAGACUCCUACGGGAGGCAGCAGUAGGGAAUUUUCCACAAUGGGCGAAAGCCUGAUGGAGCAACGCCGCGUGCAGGAUGAAGGCUCUAGGGUCGUAAACUGUCUUUUAUCUGUGACGAAUAUGACGGUAGCAGAUGAAUAAGGAUCGGCUAACUCCGUGCCAGCAGCCGCGGU
Molecule: ribosomal RNA, 460 nt
Filed under: uncultured bacterium
Lineage: Bacteria
Description: SSU rRNA
Rfam family: Bacterial small subunit ribosomal RNA
Source: RNAcentral